CAGCAACGUCCACUGGGGCAUACCUCUUCAUUUACGGCGAACGGUUGUUUCUCAAUCGGGAGCAUUUGUUGGGAUUUCCUGUGCUGUGUACCUACUCUAGGGCAUGCUGUUGCUUGGUUAAUGUUGAUUUUCAUCGCACGUCACGCAAGUGGCGUGGGAUGAACUAGAACUGGCCCCUCUAUGAUCCAUGUCUUCGACGCUUUGUGUCUUUGGCAUGGCCCAUUGGGUGUGGCUUGGUUUCUUGGAUACGGAACCUUAUGUGGGCAUGGGGUCGCUUAAGACCCUGCUUUUGCCCUCGUUAAGCGUUCUUGCUUCUAAAAAGCAACAAUGCGAUCGUGUAUUGACUUGUUCGAUCACGAUCGUUGUUGUCAAAG
This 374-nucleotide unclassified non-coding RNA is filed under the name Triptilion achilleae. RNAcentral's name for it is "partial miscellaneous RNA". Lineage: Eukaryota; Viridiplantae; Streptophyta; Magnoliopsida; Asterales; Asteraceae. The record is from RNAcentral.